UGGCUUAUGCCUCGUAUCCUCAUCCCAGGG
This 30-nucleotide non-coding RNA is filed under the name Homo sapiens (human). The record is from RNAcentral. Lineage: Eukaryota; Metazoa; Chordata; Mammalia; Primates; Hominidae.